This is a long non-coding RNA of Amphibalanus amphitrite, 851 nucleotides long. RefSeq lists it as uncharacterized. NCBI's taxonomy places the organism in Eukaryota, Metazoa, Arthropoda, Thecostraca, Balanomorpha, Balanidae. The record is from RefSeq and is a predicted model, not a curated record. The transcript has 3 exons.
GCUGCUAGGUCGCAGAGGGCGGACGUCGGAGUUGGGCGCCAUGAAAUUGCCAAAUGAUAGGCUUUUGCGAGACCUCGGGUUGUUAUCAAGUUGUUAUAAAACAUGAUCUGAGAAAUGUGCGUCUUCUUGAUGGCUCUACGAGUCUUCUCUGCAUGUCUUGAUUGGGGGGCUGAUGCCCUGCGCCAGAAGUUCGAAUGGCCGGCGGCCUUGGCAUAAGGAAAGCUGGUGCUUUUGAAGACCUGUUGAAAGGCCAUGGUUUGGCGCAAACCUCACAUGACAUGACACACAUGAUGGCAACAUAUGAGAUGGUCUGGGUAUUGAAAUAUGACACCCGUCAACGCUCCGACGACGUCUCUGAUGCCAGGGCUGGCCUGGAAGUCGUCACGGACAUCGGAGUCCUGCCAAGCUUCUGUACACACCAUUCAGGCUGCGUAACAGGCGAACCACUUCAUCGACAAAACUCCAUGCGGUGGAGAUGGACAGGUUAAGAUCAGAGCCGCUUUUUGGAGGGUUCUGAUGCUGCCUGAUAAGAGCAGUCUUCUUCGGCUCAGGUAGCACACACAUAUGACCAUGUGGGACCACAUGGGCAUGCCUAUCUAUUCCACAUGGUAACUACAUAUACUUCCCCAUGUUGUAACCAUAUGGACUGUCCCAUAUGGUAACCAUUGGGGUUUCCCUGUUUUCCUUUCUGUCGCGAUUGUUGACCAGCCACUUGCCGAUGGCGUUGGCGAUAUCCUUCUCGGUGACGGACAAGGCCGGGUUCUGUUUGAGUGCCCCUGUCAGAGCUGUCUAAUACAACGUGUGUAACAUGUUGCAAAAGCUCACUUUUCUACAAAAACACUUAUUUGUGG